This 32-nucleotide non-coding RNA is filed under the name Mus musculus (house mouse). Lineage: Eukaryota; Metazoa; Chordata; Mammalia; Rodentia; Muridae. The record is from RNAcentral.
UGAAAAUUAGAAUGAAGAUAAUCUACAAAGAC